This 279-nucleotide ribosomal RNA is filed under the name uncultured bacterium. RNAcentral describes it as "partial 16S ribosomal RNA". It matches the Rfam family "Bacterial small subunit ribosomal RNA", at positions 506 to 784 of the family's 1533-position model. The record is from RNAcentral.
UGCCAGCCUCCUCGGUAACACGGGGGGCGCAGGCGUUAUUCGGAAUUAUUGGGCGUAAAGGGCGCGCAGGCGGUCUUGUCCGUCAGGUGUGAAAGCUCGGGGCUCAACCCCGGAAGUGCACUUGAUACUGAACUGCUUGAGACCGGAAGAGGGUAGUGGAAUUCCCAGUGUAGAGGUGAAAUUCGUAGAUAUUCGGUGGAACACCAGUGGCGAAGGCGACUAACUGGACUGAUACUGACGCUGAGGUGCGAAAGUGUGGGGAGCAAACAGGAUUAGAUA